UACGUAGGGGGCGAGCGUUGUCCGGAUUUAUUGGGCGUAAAGAGCUCGUAGGCGGCUGUUCGAGUCGGGUGUGAAAUCCUGAGGCUUAACCUUGGGUCUGCAUUCGAUACUGGGCGGCUUGAGUCUGGUAGGGGGAUCUGGAAUUCCUGGUGUAGCGGUGGAAUGCGCAGAUAUCAGGAGGAACACCGGUGGCGAAGGCGGCUCUCUGGGACGGUACUGACGCUGAGACGCGAAAGCGUGGGGAGCGAACAGG
RNAcentral lists this ribosomal RNA (253 nucleotides) under uncultured bacterium. Its description in RNAcentral is "partial 16S ribosomal RNA". It matches the Rfam family "Bacterial small subunit ribosomal RNA", at positions 524 to 776 of the family's 1533-position model. The record is from RNAcentral.